This is a long non-coding RNA of Helianthus annuus (common sunflower), 313 nucleotides long. RefSeq lists it as uncharacterized. Lineage: Eukaryota; Viridiplantae; Streptophyta; Magnoliopsida; Asterales; Asteraceae. The transcript is spliced from 3 exons. The record is from RefSeq and is a predicted model, not a curated record.
AAGAACUUUUGACCUAUGUUUAAAUGUUAAUAGGUCAGUGCUCAUGUUGUUAGUGUUCUCGAAAGAGCUGAUGAUGAAGAGCUCCAAUGUUAUUUGCUUCAACUGGUACAAGCUAUGCGGUUUGAACGCUCAGAUAAAUCUCGUCUUUCUCAGUUUCUCGUGCAGCGUUCAUUAACGAACAUCGAGUUUUCUAGCUUCCUUAGAUGAUAUGUUGUUGUCGAACUUCAUGUUCCUGCAUACACGAAAUGUUUUUAUUGUACGUAUGAGAUGCUGGAAGAAAAUAUGAUAAAGUUGGGAAUGGGGGCAUUUGACG